Molecule: long non-coding RNA, 730 nt
Organism: Pseudophryne corroboree (corroboree frog)
Lineage: Eukaryota; Metazoa; Chordata; Amphibia; Anura; Myobatrachidae
Exons: 5
Source: RefSeq, a predicted model, not a curated record
GCAGGGGAUCCAUUGAUACAGGAACUCAGCAGGGGGCGGAGCUACACGGGACCCAGGGGGCGGAGCUACACGGGACCCAGGCUGCCUGCUGCUAACAUGGCUGUUGCUGCUGCUGUUGAGAGGGAGAGAAGCUGCUGCACAUCCAUGUCCGGCCCAGCCAGUGAGACAGUGACUGCACCGAAGACCGAAUUCUGUCUCUCACAGUUAAAGUGUACCUAUGAUGGAAUUUACAGACCUCUCUCAUCUUUUUAACCUAUUUGUGAUGUGGACCCCCCACUGCGGUGUGACCUAAAGACCCCUCAGGUUUACCUUUGAUGUACUUGAACCCCUGAACCCCUCUACUGUGUAAAGUGGCGCUUACACCCUCCCUCUACCAAGAUGCGCUACUUGUGAUGUGGACCCCCCACUGCGAUGUGACCUUGAGAACCCUUCAGGUUUACCUUGGAUGUGCUUUAAGACCUUGAACCCCUCUACUGUGGAAAGUGGCGCUUACACCCUCACUCUACCAUGAUGGCCUACUUGUGAUGUUCAACCGCUAGGUGACCUGGAACACAUGAACUGUUGGGGGAACUUGAGGGCCGAUGUUGGGAACACCUGGCCUAGUGGGACAAGAUUUGUGUGGUUGUGUGCAGCGUGAGACAUGUUUCUCACCCAUGUCACCUCUACACGGUCAACGUUUUCCAGAUGACGUCUUGAGAACCAUCCCUAUGAAGAAAACAACAGGUGAAUA